UGCGUAGGUGGCAGUGCAAGUCAGAUGUGAAAGGCCGGGGCUCAACCCCGGAGCUGCAUUUGAAACUGCAUAGCUAGAGUACAGGAGAGGCAGGCGGAGUUCCUAGUGUAGCGGUGAAAUGCGUAGAUAUUAGGAGGAACACCAGUGGCGAAGGCGGCCUGCUGGACUGUUACUGACACUGAGGCACGAAAGCGUGGGGAGCAAACA
This 207-nucleotide ribosomal RNA is filed under the name uncultured bacterium. RNAcentral's name for it is "partial 16S ribosomal RNA". It matches the Rfam family "Bacterial small subunit ribosomal RNA", at positions 568 to 774 of the family's 1533-position model. The record is from RNAcentral.